UGGGGAAUUUUGGACAAUGGGCGAAAGCCUGAUCCAGCAAUGCCGCGUGUGUGAAGAAGGCCUUCGGGUUGUAAAGCACUUUUGUCCGGAAAGAAAUCCUUGGCUCUAAUACAGUCGGGGGGAUGACGGUACCGGAAGAAUAAGCACCGGCUAACUACGUGCCAGCAGCCGCGGUAAUACGUAGGGUGCAAGCGUUAAUCGGAAUUACUGGGCGUAAAGCGUGCGCAGGCGGUUUGCUAAGACCGAUGUGAAAUCCCCGGGCUCAACCUGGGAACUGCAUUGGGUGACUGGCAGGCUAGAGUAUGGCAGAGGGGGGUAGAAUUCCACGUGUAGCAGUGAAAUGCGUAGAGAUGUGGAGGAAUACCGAUGGCGAAGGCAGCCCCCCUGGGCCAAUACUGACGCUCAUGCACGAAAGCGUGGGGAGCAAACAGGAUUAGAUACCCUGGUAGUCCACGCCCUAAACGAUGUCAACUAGUUGUUGGGGAUUCAUUUCCUUAGUAACGUAGCUAACGCGUGAAGUUGACCGCCUGGGGAGUACGGUCGCAAGAUUAAAACUCAAAUGGAAUUGACGGGGUCAUAGCUGUUUCCU
This 589-nucleotide ribosomal RNA is filed under the name uncultured bacterium. RNAcentral describes it as "partial 16S ribosomal RNA". It matches the Rfam family "Bacterial small subunit ribosomal RNA", at positions 355 to 1375 of the family's 1533-position model. The record is from RNAcentral.